Molecule: long non-coding RNA, 2033 nt
Filed under: Homo sapiens (human)
Lineage: Eukaryota; Metazoa; Chordata; Mammalia; Primates; Hominidae
Description: non-protein coding lnc-NSMCE4A-5:1
Source: RNAcentral
GCCCCGGGCACGGAGCUGCCACGCUCAUGGGUUCUUCCUAGGAGGAGGCAGUCGCUGAUGCCUGGCUGUUCCCUUGCAGGAAAUACCACUGUGCCGGGGGUGCAGAGGAAAGAUGCUGACGGCAGGAGAAGCCCCCCAGCCAUGCACCCACUGCUGAGCGACCAAAACUGAAUUCCAGGGAAUCGUUUCUGCCCACAGCAGUAACUUGGGGCUACCAGAUGCUCCUCCCAGAGCAGCCCCAGGUAAAGCUUUCCAAGGCUGCGAAGAACCCCAGGCCAGCCUGGGCUCCAGGUUGCACAGGCAUUAGGAAAGGCGACACUAACAAAGCCCGGGCAUCCUCUCCUCCUCCCCGGGAGACUCGGGGCGGCCCGGGCGGAGCACUUACAUUGCCUCGGAAGCCUCCAGGUUCAGGUCGCUGGCUGGGGCUGGCUGCAGGGACUGCGACCCUCCCAUCCUCGCUGUGCCCUGGCGUGCAAGCUAGCCGCGAGCGGGGCCAGCGUCCUGGCGCGAUUCCUGCAGCCGGGAGCCGGGGCGAGCCGGCCGGCGGCCGGGGUUGCUGCACUGCAGAGGGGAGCAGCUGCGGGCAUCCGUGGCGGCGGGAGCGGCGGCAGGGAGCUGCGACUCGCGGCCCGAGCCGGGGGCCGGGGGGCGAGCGCCGCGUAUGUGUGCGCGCGAGUGUGGCCGGCGCGCGCCCGAGUGUGGCCGGCGUGCGCGGCUCUGCCCGGGGCGUGCGGGUAUGAGCGUGAGCGCCGGUGUGGUCCGAAAGGCUCUUCUCUUAAACCCCCCGGCAGCCGGCUCCUGUGUGUGACACGAUGAUGUCAUCAUCGCCGAGCAGCCCCAACGCCUGCAUCUUCACAAAGCUCCAUCGCGGGCUCCGGAAACGGGGCUGGGGGUGGGGAGGCGAAGACCCUCCCUCUGCCCCGGCCCCUCCCGCCUCGCCGGGACCGCCCGCAUUGUGUAGCUUUGAAAUGCAAACGAGCCGCGGCCCGGGAGCUGGGGCCCUAGAAAGGAGGGGCGUGGUGGUCGGGCGGGCUGACCACCGAGAGAGUAGGGGGCUCAGCCCUGUUGGCUCAUCCCUCCAGGAAGGAGGAAAUGGUCUCUCCCGGCCCAGGACUAAGGGGAUGGCUGGAGGAACAGGUAAAUAGGCUGCAGUGGGCAGCGGGCAGCGGGAGCGACGCUGGGAGAGACGUGCGCCCUUUUCCACCGCCGGCUUCUGCCUCCUUCAGGCCCCGGGUCCUGGAGGCAGCUGAAGUCUGUACCAGGGAGAGCUGCGGCACCUGGCUCUCCCCUCACAGCCAGCCCGGGGCUAGCCUCCAAGGACCUUUGCACCGCACAGUCUGAGGGCCUGGGGCAAGCUAGGGAGCAAAAGGUACUGGGCCUGCGAGCGGGCUGGGGCUGCAACACCAUCUUUGGCCACCAAAUGAGCUCCACAAAGCCAAGCCCUGUGCAAAGGCUCACCCUAAACAAGCAGAGGCGCGGCCAGCUGAGCCGCCCAAGGCAGGCCCCUAAUGCAGCAUGCGUGUACAGGGCAAAGGCAGUUCUCCGUGACAUGCAUCGGCUCAGCUCUGUGAUUCUAAACACGGGCUGGGCCUGUAGGAAUGUCCGUGACACCCCAUCACCAAGCUCCCAGUGCCCAGUCAGCCCCAUUCUGUAGCUGGCAGCAUGUCACCCAUCAGCAGCCAAAUCCCUGUCCCUGGCCUAUGGCAGGCUCAGAAACCCUCAAGACUUGAGAUCCUGAGCCUCCUCACUGGAGGCUGCUGCAGAAAGAGUUCAUCUCUGUAUAGGUACAGGAGGUUUGGGGCACACCUGGGAACCCCACCAUCCCCUCAUGCUGUACAUUCAACACAACCGCUUCCUGCGCUCCCAGCCCAGACUCACAACUGAAUUCAAAUGGAACCUCUGAUGGGUAAGUGGAAGACUCUUCCACAUUUCCCAGCUUGUCUUCACCCACAGGGCAGUGAGCCUAAAAUGUAUCUAAACUGUGGCCAAAAGCAAAAGAAAAUAAAAACAAAAUUGUUCAAAGCAUUUUAAAA